UACGAAGGGUGCUAGCGUUGUUCGGAAUCACUGGGCGUAAAGCGCGCGUAGGCGGCUUUUCAAGUCAGGGGUGAAAUCCCACGGCUCAACCGUGGAAUUGCCUUUGAAACUGUGAAGCUAGAGUGUCGGAGGGGAUAGCGGAAUUGCUAAUGUAGAGGUGAAAUUCGUAGAUAUUAGCAGGAACACCGGUGGCGAAGGCGGCUAUCUGGACGACAACUGACGCUGAGGCGCGAAAGCACGGGGAUCAAACAGG
RNAcentral lists this ribosomal RNA (253 nucleotides) under uncultured bacterium. RNAcentral's name for it is "partial 16S ribosomal RNA". It matches the Rfam family "Bacterial small subunit ribosomal RNA", at positions 524 to 776 of the family's 1533-position model. The record is from RNAcentral.